RNAcentral lists this ribosomal RNA (481 nucleotides) under uncultured bacterium. RNAcentral describes it as "partial 16S ribosomal RNA". It matches the Rfam family "Bacterial small subunit ribosomal RNA", at positions 28 to 507 of the family's 1533-position model. The record is from RNAcentral.
GAUGAACGCCGGCGGCGUGCUUAACACAUGCAAGUCGAACGAAGCACUUUAUUUGAUUUCCUUCGGGACUGAUUAUUUUGUGACUGAGUGGCGGACGGGUGAGUAACGCGUGGGUAACCUGCCUUGUACAGGGGGAUAACAGUUGGAAACGGCUGCUAAUACCGCAUAAGCGCACGGCAUCGCAUGAUGCAGUGUGAAAAACUCCGGUGGUAUAAGAUGGACCCGCGUUGGAUUAGCUAGUUGGUGAGGUAACGGCCCACCAAGGCGACGAUCCAUAGCCGACCUGAGAGGGUGACCGGCCACAUUGGGACUGAGACACGGCCCAAACUCCUACGGGAGGCAGCAGUGGGGAAUAUUGCACAAUGGGCGAAAGCCUGAUGCAGCGACGCCGCGUGAGCGAAGAAGUAUUUCGGUAUGUAAAGCUCUAUCAGCAGGGAAGAUAAUGACGGUACCUGACGAAGAAGCACCGGCUAAAUACGUG